Molecule: ribosomal RNA, 253 nt
Filed under: uncultured bacterium
Lineage: Bacteria
Description: partial 16S ribosomal RNA
Rfam family: Bacterial small subunit ribosomal RNA
Source: RNAcentral
UACGGGGGGGGCAAGCGUUGUUCGGAAUUACUGGGCGUAAAGGGCUCGUAGGUGGCCAACUAAGUCAGACGUGAAAUCCCCAGGCUCAACUUGGGAACUGCGUCUGAUACUGGAUGGCUUGAAUUCGGGAGAGGGAUGCAGAAUUCCAGGUGUAGCGGUGAAAUGCGUAGAUAUCUGGAGGAAUACCGGUGGCGAAGGCGGCAUCCUGGACCGAGACUGACGCUGAGGCGCGAAAGCGUGGGGAGCAAACAGG